GUUGGUACUAAGUACCACCUAUUUAAAACUUUAAAGUGUGUUUCUAAUAAAUUUAAUGAGUGUAUGUUCUUCUUAACAUCCAUCAUUGAAGAACCCCAUUGUUUCAUACUAAUAUCAAUAUUUAAGUCUUGUUUCCAUGUCUGUAUAGCAGUAGGAUUUAUGUCCUUGACCAUUGAUUUAGUUAAUAUCAGAGCUUUAGAGAGUGGUUUAUUAAUUUUU
Molecule: non-coding RNA, 219 nt
Organism: Pelobates cultripes (western spadefoot toad)
Lineage: Eukaryota; Metazoa; Chordata; Amphibia; Anura; Pelobatidae
Source: the annotation of a GenBank genome assembly